Molecule: long non-coding RNA, 1400 nt
Organism: Acinonyx jubatus (cheetah)
Lineage: Eukaryota; Metazoa; Chordata; Mammalia; Carnivora; Felidae
Exons: 3
Source: RefSeq, a predicted model, not a curated record
CGACAGGAACAGCGGAAGGGAGAGAAGGUGGCCGGAAGCUUCCGCUGGAAACAUUUCAGAGGGGCAGUUGUGCUCGAGUCUGAGGGGAGUCCUCAAAUCCACAGCCCUUCUAGAAAGGAAGGUUGCGUGGGGACACCUGCUCGCGGCCGGGCUACGUGUGAGCGGCCGAGUGUGAGGGGUUUUGAGGUUUUUGAGCCUUCACUGAUGUCCUCCAGGCUUUUCUGCUACUGGCGUCUGGGACUGAAUGCAAGAAAGAUUUGGAACCUUCCAGAAAAUGAGGUUGUGUGCAAUGGAGAGGGUACCGUCAGAAGCUCUCCAAUCAGACAGACUCAAUGAGGUCCUGGCUCUGCUGCUGACUGUGUGUGACUUUGGGCAAGUUACUGAAUUCCUAGCUUCAGUUUCCUCAACCAUGACGUGGGGAUAAUAACAGUAUCUCCCUCACAGGGCUGUUUUAAGGACAAAAUGAGCUUUCCCUGGAGUUGGUCAGUGAUGGGUCUCCAGCGCCUCUGUGGCCCUCAGUCCGUGCACAGCAGCCUCCUCAGUGGCUCCUCGCUCUGGUUCAGAUGCAGAGAAAUCAGUCCCUACCCUGUGGCUUUCAGGGUCAGAAAGACAUGAACACUGCUGUUCCCAGUUUCAAAGACAGGGAGACAUUGGCCAACCUUGGAGUUACCAGAAGCAAGAUCCCUACCCUGCAGGACUAUCUGAAACCUUUGGGAUGUGCUGGAAAUAUCCUUUCUGGAGGCACAAGAGGACCCCUGAAAGCCGACACCCUUUGCCGACCAGCAGCUGUAGGAACAGCAGGAACGACCGUGUCCCUUUCGACCCCUUCCGUGAGAAGGACCUCCUUCUUCACCCCCCUCCACACAGUGACAACACGUGGUGUCCCUGGUCGCUCAGAUGGUCCCACGUGGCCAGGCUGAUUACAUCACAUGGAAACAUGCCAGAAACUAAACAAGAUAACAACGGUCCCAACAGAUGCCUGUCUUGUAGGUUGUGAGAAAGCUCGUGCCUCUCAUGGUUGGGUUUGGAGUCCUUGGGCAAUCUUGGAUCUUCGUGUGGACACCAUUCCCCCUCCCCAGUCCUGGCAGAAUGUGUGUAGAGCAGGCCCCCACAUCCAUCCAUUCAUACAUAGCGGUAUGAUAAGGAAACGUGAUGUGCUGCCCAGGCUCUGGGUUGGGAGUCGUGUAAACCUUGGUUCCAAACCCUGAACUCACUUCUGGGGCGCCCGGGGGGGCUCAGUCAGUUAAGCAUCAGACUCUUGGUUUCGGCUCAGGUCACACAAUCUCACAGUUUCAUGGGUUCAGGACCCACGCUGGGCGGAGCCUGCUUGGGAUUCUCUGUCUCCCUCUCUCUGGCCCUUCCUCACUUGCGCUGUCUCUCUCUCUCUCUCUCUCUCUCUC